GGAGAAUAAAGAAAAAUUAGCAAGGAAGAUUCGAGAGAAGGAGAAGAAAAGAAAAAGAAGAAGAAGAAGUGGGUUUUCACGCUUGGGUUCUCCAUUUCUUCAAUUUCUCCACUGAUUUAGAGAUGUAUGUGGCACCGUGGCAUGCGAGGCAUGCAAUUGUGUUGGCCACAAGUGAGACUUCUCAAGUGAUCGCAAGGGUGGUUAUGGGAUGUGAUCAUGGGAGGAUUGACCACUUGCUUGUGCCAUUGUGAUAUGGUGAUUUUUAGUAUCUCGGGUGGUAUACUUCCUGGCUAAUCAUGGGGGCUAUCAGGUAGCAAUUGGUUUUUGAUAGCGUGAGGAGCUUGAUAAUUUUAGAGUUAGAGCUACACGACAUAUUGAAUGAUAUGAGUCAUUUGGAUUCAACAUGAGAUAAUUAUUUUGGACACAUCACAUUAUAUUUUUCACAAGCAUUUGAUUUUGGCACAUGUUUUAUAGUAACUCAUAUUCAGCAUUGGUGAUGGAUCUGACAUCUAAUCAGCAUCAAUUAUCGACGAACGUUACAUUUUGGUCCACUAGGAUGAUUAGGGACAAGUCAUGUCAUGUAGCCCAUGUAGGAAUCUUUGUUAAAGGGACGUACAUUUCGUUGGAUAUCCUCGCCAUUAUUAGUUCCUGCUAGCCCUCAUCAAAUGCAUCCAUUUUGACAAUUCUUGCUCUCUGUGGAUUAUGUAUAUGUGAGUGAGUAUGUAUCUGUGUAUUUGAUUUUGACAACAUCAAAUGUAGAGAAGAAAGUGGUGGGUAAUAGGUGGUA
Molecule: long non-coding RNA, 787 nt
Organism: Olea europaea var. sylvestris
Lineage: Eukaryota; Viridiplantae; Streptophyta; Magnoliopsida; Lamiales; Oleaceae
Exons: 3
Source: RefSeq, a predicted model, not a curated record